AAAUUGAAGAGUUUGAUCAUGGCUCAGAUUGAACGCUGGCGGCAGGCCUAACACAUGCAAGUCGAGCGGUAGCACAGAGAGCUUGCUCUCGGGUGACGAGCGGCGGACGGGUGAGUAAUGUCUGGGAAACUGCCUGAUGGAGGGGAUAACUACUGGAAACGGUAGCUAAUACCGCAUAACGUCGCAAGACCAAAGUGGGGGACCUUCGGGCCUCAUGCCAUCAGAUGUGCCCAGAUGGGAUUAGCUAGUAGGUGGGGUAAUGGCUCACCUAGGCGACGAUCCCUAGCUGGUCUGAGAGGAUGACCAGCCACACUGGAACUGAGACACGGUCCAGACUCCUACGGGAGGCAGCAGUGGGGAAUAUUGCACAAUGGGCGCAAGCCUGAUGCAGCCAUGCCGCGUGUGUGAAGAAGGCCUUCGGGUUGUAAAGCACUUUCAGCGGGGAGGAAGGCGGUGAGGUUAAUAACCUCAUCGAUUGACGUUACCCGCAGAAGAAGCACCGGCUAACUCCGUGCCAGCAGCCGCGGUAAUACGGAGGGUGCAAGCGUUAAUCGGAAUUACUGGGCGUAAAGCGCACGCAGGCGGUCUGUCAAGUCGGAUGUGAAAUCCCCGGGCUCAACCUGGGAACUGCAUUCGAAACUGGCAGGCUAGAGUCUUGUAGAGGGGGUAGAAUUCCAGGUGUAGCGGUGAAAUGCGUAGAGAUCUGGAGGAAUACCGGUGGCGAAGGCGGCCCCUGGACAAAGACUGACGCUCAGGUGCGAAAGCGUGGGGAGCAAACAGGAUUAGAUACCCUGGUAGUCCACGCCGUAAACGAUGUCGAUUUGGAGGUUGUGCCCUUGAGGCGUGGCUUCCGGAGCUAACGCGUUAAAUCGACCGCCUGGGGAGUACGGCCGCAAGGUUAAAACUCAAAUGAAUUGACGGGGGCCCGCACAAGCGGUGGAGCAUGUGGUUUAAUUCGAUGCAACGCGAAGAACCUUACCUGGUCUUGACAUCCACAGAACUUAGCAGAGAUGCUUUGGUGCCUUCGGGAACUGUGAGACAGGUGCUGCAUGGCUGUCGUCAGCUCGUGUUGUGAAAUGUUGGGUUAAGUCCCGCAACGAGCGCAACCCUUAUCCUUUGUUGCCAGCGGUCCGGCCGGGAACUCAAAGGAGACUGCCAGUGAUAAACUGGAGGAAGGUGGGGAUGACGUCAAGUCAUCAUGGCCCUUACGACCAGGGCUACACACGUGCUACAAUGGCAUAUACAAAGAGAAGCGACCUCGCGAGAGCAAGCGGACCUCAUAAAGUAUGUCGUAGUCCGGAUUGGAGUCUGCAACUCGACUCCAUGAAGUCGGAAUCGCUAGUAAUCGUAGAUCAGAAUGCUACGGUGAAUACGUUCCCGGGCCUUGUACACACCGCCCGUCACACCAUGGGAGUGGGUUGCAAAAGAAGUAGGUAGCUUAACCUUCGGGAGGGCGCUUACCACUUUGUGAUUCAUGACUGGGGUGAAGUCGUAACAAGGUAACCGUAGGGGAACCUGCGGUUGGAUCACCUCCUUACCUUAAAGAA
This 1547-nucleotide ribosomal RNA is filed under the name Klebsiella pneumoniae. Its description in RNAcentral is "bacterial SSU rRNA". It matches the Rfam family "Bacterial small subunit ribosomal RNA". The record is from RNAcentral. Lineage: Bacteria; Pseudomonadati; Pseudomonadota; Gammaproteobacteria; Enterobacterales; Enterobacteriaceae.